UUUGGUUGAUUAUAUAGGGAAUCACUGAAGCGUGACAGUAUUGGGCCCCCUCUUAGGCAGCCAGUGGGCCCCCUCUUAGGCAGCCAAUGGGCCCCCACUUAUGUAAAUUUAUAGAUUCACCACUGUUCUUGUUUGUCAAUGUCUAAAAACUAGUAGGAUUACUUUGCACUGUAAUGUUUGCUACUCCUUGCUUUUUAUGGUUUUAUUUACAAUUUGUUAUAUUAAGGUAAAAGACAUAAAUAUUUUAUUUAGGGGUAAAGAUUGAAAUUUAACAAUUUUUUAAUUAUAUUUUUUCUAACUUGAGUUUGAUGUGGCCAUAUAUUAUGAAAAUUUAUUACAUGUAUUAUGAAACAAUUUGUUGUGG
Molecule: long non-coding RNA, 364 nt
Filed under: Mytilus galloprovincialis (Mediterranean mussel)
Lineage: Eukaryota; Metazoa; Mollusca; Bivalvia; Mytilida; Mytilidae
Source: RNAcentral